GUCCUGAUGCAGUGCCAGCUGCAAACGUAAGCCAUGCCCUCCCCUACCUCUAGCAUGGCCAGCAGUCAGGACCUAACUUGAACAAGUCCAGACAAUUGUAUUUGCCCUGUCCUGGAGAGCCGUGUAUUCAGCCACUCAUGGGUCACAGGGCCCUGGUACUCAGCAAUGAGAUGCCUUCUUUAGAGACAGCAACAGAAGAAAAGAAGAAAAAGGAAGGAGGAGGAGAAUGGACUUCUGUAAUAGCCUUUCCUUCCUUCCAUGCUUGGAAGAGGGGAUGAACUAAGCUUCACUUUGAAGAGCUACUACUAUUUAUUGUCUGAAGAAAUGAUUCUACUAUCAACUUCUCCUUCUUUUUGAAGAAUUUUCCCUGAAUUUGUCUUUUCAGCACUAGUAUGUAUAUAUAUAUAUAUAUCAUUGAUGAGAAAAUUAAUGUACAGAAAAAGCAUAAAUAAUAAGACUGAUUGUUAAGAUAUGUUUUGAUCAGCAAGAUCUCUGUAAUUAUAGUAGGCUCAUGCUUUUUAACAUCAAUUACUUCAGAAGCAUCAUGUAUUUAAUGAGAUAUUUCAUGGCAUAGGAAAGCUGACUUUUUUUUUUGUUGUUUGAUAAGUGGCUGCUAUAGUUGAUCUUCAUGUCCUUCUUAUCUCCAUAUCCAAUUUGAACAUCAGGUAUGAUGCCGGACCUAAUAAGAUACAUCAGAUUACUUGAUAUAGCAUGAGGCUAAAUUUGCCAAUUAGCUGUGUUUCUAAAUCACGGUAUGUGAAGGUGGCUAUUACCAGGGAGUUGCUUUUAACUCCAACUGAAAAACAGUUUUCAUGAAGGAUAAUUGCCUGCAAGAGCAAAUGUAUUGAAGUCCUUCAAUCACUAAAAUCCAAAUAUGCAGACAACUCUUCGUGUUCCAUCAAACCUACAUGUGUUACUGUAAAUAGACUGCAAAAUUCCAGUAAAAUCAACUGAAACUACAGAAGUAUAAGGAAGUAUCUAAUCUCAGCAGUGGAAGAUUUGACUUAUUAAAAACUACCUUUAAAAAAUCUGACUCAUAUUUGUUUGCUACCUACCAGAACUGAAGAAUGUUAAGAGGAUUUACCUUUUGUAUGUGGAAAAUCAGUGACUGACAGAUAAUAUAAAUGAAUAUUUGAGAGCUAAAUUCUGAAGUAGACACCAUUAUACACUCUACACCAGUUAACUGGGUGCUACUGAAUCUUAUUAUUACCUAACAGUCUCUUUUAUAUACAUAUAUAUAUAUAAAAAAACACGUCUAUUAUUUUGAUUACAGAUGAUUAUCAAACCAAUAGUAGAAUGUGUUUUCAUUAAAAUAGUGUAGCUCUAAAUGCUUUGUGAAGUCUUGCCUUUUCACUGAAAUUUAACUUACGUGAGGAAAAAAAAUUGGAAGAAAGGCUCUGGCAAUGUCAAAAUAGUUCAUUUUGACAUCUUUAAAUGAAAGUCUUACACUUUCCUUUUUGAAAUGACUUUUUACUUUGAUUUUUGUGUUUCACAUAGGCGUAUGUGACAUGUGUAAAAAAAAAUGUAUUGGAAAGAAUUGAUCCUUCUGAAAUUAGGCACUUUUUUAUGUUGCAGAAUAUUUUUAAUAUUGAAGUUUUCUUGAACUGGAAUAAAAAUUAUUCUAGAAAGCUCA
This 1633-nucleotide long non-coding RNA is filed under the name Anas platyrhynchos platyrhynchos (common mallard). RNAcentral describes it as "lncRNA (ENSAPLG00000016986.1)". Lineage: Eukaryota; Metazoa; Chordata; Aves; Anseriformes; Anatidae. The record is from RNAcentral.